AGACGGAGGGCGCGAGCGUUGUUCGGAAUUACUGGGCGUAAAGCGCGCGCAGGCGGACGUGGCAAGUCGGUGGUGAAAUCCUGGGGCUCAACCCUGGGGCUGCUGCCGAUACUGCUCGUCUAGGGACCGGUAGGGGCCGGUGGAAUUCCCGGUGUAGCGGUGGAAUGCGUAGAGAUCGGGAAGAACACCUGUGGCGAAGGCGGCCGGCUGGGCCGGAUCCGACGCUGAGGCGCGAAAGCGUGGGGAGCAAACAGGAUUAGAUACCCUGGUAGUCCACGCCGUAAACGAUGGGUGCUAGAUGCCGGUGGGAGCGACCCCUUCGGUGUCGUAGCUAACGCGUUAAGCACCCCGCCUGGGGAGUACGGCCGCAAGGCUGAA
Molecule: ribosomal RNA, 378 nt
Filed under: uncultured bacterium
Lineage: Bacteria
Description: bacterial SSU rRNA
Rfam family: Bacterial small subunit ribosomal RNA
Source: RNAcentral